CCUACGGGAGGCAGCAGUGGGGAAUAUUGGACAAUGGGGGGAACCCUGAUCCAGCCAUGCCGCGUGUGUGAAGAAGGCCUUAUGGUUGUAAAGCACUUUAAGCGAGGAGGAGGCUCUCUUGGUUAAUACCCAAGAAGAGUGGACGUUACUCGCAGAAUAAGCACCGGCUAACUCUGUGCCAGCAGCCGCGGUAAUACAGAGGGUGCGAGCGUUAAUCGGAUUUACUGGGCGUAAAGCGUGCGUAGGCGGCUUUUAAGUCGGAUGUGAAAUCCCCGAGCUUAACUUGGGAAUUGCAUUCGAUACUGGGAAGCUAGAGUAUGGGAGAGGAUGGUAGAAUUCCAGGUGUAGCGGUGAAAUGCGUAGAGAUCUGGAGGAAUACCGAUGGCGAAGGCAGCCAUCUGGCCUAAUACUGACGCUGAGGUACGAAGGCAUGGGGAGCAAACAGGAUUAGAUACCCUGGUAGUCCAUGCCGUAAACGAUGUCUACUAGCCGUUGGGGCCUUUGAGGCUUUAGUGGCGCNGNGACGACGAGUAAGUAAGUAACCGCCGUCGGGGUUAGGGUUACGGGUCGGCGAAGAACGUUAAAACCUUAACAAAGAAGUUAAGUUAGGACGGNGNGAGAGCGACGACGGACGACGACGGAGGAGGAG
RNAcentral lists this ribosomal RNA (649 nucleotides) under uncultured bacterium. Its description in RNAcentral is "bacterial SSU rRNA". The stretch from base 1 to 547 matches the Rfam family "Bacterial small subunit ribosomal RNA", at positions 338 to 873 of the family's 1533-position model. The record is from RNAcentral.